GAUGAACGCUGGCGGCGUGCCUAAUACAUGCAAGUCGAGCGAACGGACGAGAAGCUUGCUUCUCUGAUGUUAGCGGCGGACGGGUGAGUAACACGUGGAUAACCUACCUAUAAGACUGGGAUAACUUCGGGAAACCGGAGCUAAUACCGGAUGAUAUUUUGAACCGCAUGGUUCAAAAGUGAAAGACGGUCUUGCCGUCACUUAUAGAUGGAUCCGCGCUGCAUUAGCUAGUUGGUAAGGUAACGGCUUACCAAGGCAACGAUGCAUAGCCGACCUGAGAGGGUGAUCGGCCACACUGGAACUGGGACACGGUCCAGACUCCUACGGGAGGCAGCAGUAGGGAAUCUUCCGCAAUGGGCGAAAGCCUGACGGAGCAACGCCGCGUGAGUGAUGAAGGUCUUCGGAUCGUAAAACUCUGUUAUUAGGGAAGAACAUAUGUGUAAGUAACUGUGCACAUCUUGACGGUACCUAAUCAGAAAGCCACGGCUAACUACGUG
This 497-nucleotide ribosomal RNA is filed under the name uncultured bacterium. RNAcentral describes it as "partial 16S ribosomal RNA". It matches the Rfam family "Bacterial small subunit ribosomal RNA", at positions 28 to 507 of the family's 1533-position model. The record is from RNAcentral.